GUCACGCUUCAAAAUUUAUUUUAUAUCCACUGUCUCAACAUCCACCAACAUAGCAAAAUCGCUUACGGCCCUUAAACACACAGGAAAACAUAAACCAACAAAAUAGAAUCAUCGGAACACCCAUAGCAGAAGCUGAUACAGAGAAUGAGGAAGAGAAACCAAAAGCAUCAAAGGCAAGAAGAAACUUUUACCAGCUUCCUACCACUCUCUCGAGCAAAGUCCCCCACCAACUGUACGCCAGCUACAAACGUCUUUUGGUACACACAGAAGGCUUAACACCCAUAUAUUCAAGAAAUUUCAAUCUCUCAUAACUUUGGGCCGGUCAAAAACGUACUAGUUGACAGACUUAUCAGCGUUUCAUACCCUUUCCUCAAGCCAAAAGACACCAUGCCUUACUCACAGCUUUUCAUACAUAAAUACUUGACAAUGGAUCUCCUGAGCCUUAAGUCCAUGAUUUCUCUCUCUCUCUCUUUUAAGAUGUGCGGCAAAUACCUGAUAAUGACCUGCACUUAUGUAUCGCAUGAUUAAUAAUUUUACAAAUGCCUUAAUGAUCAAUAAUAUUAAAUUGAACAAAUUUGUCCCAAUCACCAAAAAGCAGAACCACUAUAAUUAUUGUAUAGAAAAAAUGAAAUAAGGGCAGUAAAUGUUUACAUGUUCUUCAAUAUUGGAGUUUCUGUACAACUUGGAUGACGAUUAAUAUAAAGUAAACAAAAAAAUUUUUUUUUUCUUCUUGUUUUUAUCCAUAAUAAAAGAGAAGCUAAUUAAUAAAUGAAUAAAAAAUAAAAAUUUUGUAUUAAGUGUGCAAAUGAAAAAAUCCUACAAAGCAGAUGAUAUAUUGCAAUGCAGAGCCUCCUUAAUAAACUCUGAUUUUCCAUCAACCACAGAUCACAGGUGCCCUUCAGCUUAUUAAUAGGAUCCUUCACAAUUGUGCUUGAAAUUGAUACGUACAACACAGAGCUUCCUUCAUAAACUCUGAUUUAAUACCCGGGAAAAAAGAUAAACAGAGAACCCGGUUUAUAUUUGGAUUUUUGUUCUACUUUCUAGAUUUUUCAAUUUUCGCUAUAAAAUUAUUGGAUACGCAUAUUAAUACAUGCAAUAAAGUACUUAGCCUAGCUGAGAUUCUGAUUAGCCGUUCGGAUGAUCAGUCACCGGAGGCCGUACGCGCCGGUUCGUAAACCAAGCUUUCUAGCUGGGGCCUUAAUUUGUCUUUCCAAAUUUCUUGGCCUGGUCUCGCGUUCAUCUCCUUUCCUUUCACCUCCACCACAACCAAUUGCUCCGUUAAUUGGUAAAUUUCGAUGGCCAUGACAAAAGUCCCAUCAAAUCCUUCCAAUUUCGCUCCCCAAUCUCUGUUCUUCGUCACUUUCAUGUUUUCUGCCCCGGCAAUUUCUUCCACUCUGUCUAUUAUCUUCGCAGGCGACUUGGAAGACACAAACCGUUCGUUGCUAGCCGAAAUAUCGCAGUCAUUGAACAAACAGGACAAAUCAAAACCUGACGAGAAGGAGAUUAUGUGAAAAGCGUUCAAGCUUUUGUGGUUUCCUUGCCUCUUCAAAUCAGAAUCCUCCAAGUGGAACUUUAUACCUUUGUAAUCCUUUUUGAACCAUGGGUCCUGAAGAAUCUCAUCGACGGUUAUCCGAGUCCCAGGAUUUGUAUCUAGAAGCCGAGACAGGAACCGCCGUAGAUCCGGAGACGUCCAUUUCGGAAAUUUAAACUGACCUCUGUAAAUCUUCCGAUACAUAGCCAUGAGGUUAGUAUCAUUGAAAGGUAAAUAACCGGCGAUGAGAACGUAUAAAAUGACGCCGCAUGACCAAACAUCUACCUUAGCACCAUCAUAGCCUUUCUUACCGAGAAUCUCUGGUGCAACGUAAGCUGGAGUCCCGCACAGAGUAUGGAGAAGACCGUCCGAUUGGAUCUGAUCCUUGACGGCGCUGAGACCGAAAUCGGUAACUUUGAGGUCCCAAUUCUCGUCGAGGAGGAGAUUCUCGGGUUUCAAAUCGCGGUGAAACACACCUCUGGCAUGACAAUAUCCUACGGCUGUGAUAAGCUGCUGAAAAUACCGACGGCUGAGAUCUUCGCUGAAGCGUCCCUUUGCAACCUUGGCGAAAAGCUCACCACCUUUGGCGAACUCCAUCACGAAGUAAAUCUUGGUUUUAGUGGCCAAAACCUCCAACAGCUUCACGACGUGAGGGUGGUGCAAUCGGCGCAUGAUAGAAAUCUCCCUCUUAACCUGCCCUAUAAAGCCUCCCUUGACGACUUUCUGCUUGCUGACGGCCUUAAUGGCCACGCUUUGGCCGGUACUGACAUUUCUUGCAUGGUAAACCUUGGCGAAGGCUCCACUACCCAGCAACUUACCCAACUCGUAUUUGUCAAAUAAAUUAGUAUCCGGCGUAAUUUCUGCGAUUGCCGGUGAAGGGUUGCUGGGAUCCUCCGCCAUAUCUGAGUUGUCAGGCGGAACAAAUUUCAGUCUGCAUUAAUGUUAGCAGAAAAAGAACCAGCAGGAACCCCAAAAUGGGAAAUUUCAGAAAUGGCAGGUUAAGAUUAAACCGUCCAAAUUUCGAAUUUGAUAGUUUUGUUAUAUAAAUAUUAUACAGUGUGGAAUUUGUCUUACAGAGAAAGUGUAUAUUUGUGAAACAAUGGAGAGAGAUUUCAUGAGCUGGAAGAAAUUAAACUAAAAAGGAGGUGUUCCUUCCAAAUGGCAUACAAAACCUGAUCCAGCUUGUGCUGUGUUUUAAAAUAGUCUGUUUCUCGUAUAGGGGAUUAUAAGAGAAGGAGGAGAAUGAGGGCGUGGCAUUUUUGUUAUUUUUAGACUUAACAGGUACGUUAACUUCUAUUUUGUUUGAUGUGUCGUCUAAUUCAAAAUUUUACUUUUAUACAGAGUGACGCAACGCAAGGGAGCGGGGAACUGCUCACCACCCACGUGUUUAUGUGUCUUUGGCGGGAUUGAUACAUUUGUUGAACGGCAUAGGUUUUCACUUUGAAUGACCGGACCCAAUGCGGUUCGCGUAUGGAACCGGGUAAAAUUGUUCUUCUAUCCUAUCCUAUGGCAACUCUCUUCCGCAUCUCAUCAUUUUUUGUUUCAAUAAUUGACUUUUUUUUUCAUUAAAAAAAAAAAACGUUUUUCAAAAUUUUUUUUAAGAUGUACAUGAAAAAAAGUUCUUGGACUUCAAAUUCUUGUUAUUCUUAAAAAAAAAAACACACACACAAAGAGAAUACUUA
Molecule: unclassified non-coding RNA, 3213 nt
Filed under: Hevea brasiliensis (rubber tree)
Lineage: Eukaryota; Viridiplantae; Streptophyta; Magnoliopsida; Malpighiales; Euphorbiaceae
Source: RNAcentral